GUUGGAUUUCUGGGCUAAAAUCUCACAUUGCCAGCUCAUGUUAAGACUUUCAUCAACUGGCACCCCAAAAUCCUUCUCCCCAGGACUGUUCUCAAGAUAAAUGCUGAUCAGUAGCUAUCCAAAUCCUAGCAACUUUGGACAAAAAAAAAACCAAACAAACAAGCUGACUAUUGGGUAAAGCUCAAGUGUUUCCUAAGAAGAAACCAAAUAAUUGAUCCACUGAUAAGAUUUGAAUUUCACUGAAAUGAUGAGUUAACAGAGUGACAGAGAUCAGGAUAAGGAGGGAGGUGAUCAUGAUUUACUGUGAAAAUUAUUUCUUAAUUUCAGAAUACUUUAAAAUUCUGAGGCAAAUUAAGGCAGAAAUUUUGGUCAAACCCUUACAUCUCUUGUUCUGUCUUCCCAUAGAAGGAAAUCUGCACAUUGUCUCUGGGAAACUGACUAGUAAAGGAUUGCUUGAAAAAAUUAUAUCAUACCUCAAGUCCCUGUCAAAGGGAUAAUGCCAGAAGGAAAAUGAAGUCCAUCAUAAAUAUUACUUGGUUUGGAUGAUACUCAGAACAAUAUCAGCCCCAGCAUUCUCUGAAGGUCUUCAGCACAGAAGACUCUGGACAUCAUCCAGCUCUGUGGUAACUCAUCUUGCCAACAUUCUCCUCUUCUCAGAUACCCCACAGCAACUGAGAACAGACAGUGGAGAGAUAUUUCAUCAGAACAGAUUGAGAAAGUUAACUUUUCCAAACUUCAGAUCUUCUAGAAAGCACAUAAAAUUGACGUUAUUUGACUGUCUCUUCCAAUUGUCAGGUACCAAGUCCAGCUGUACAAUUUAAGGAAGUGGCUUUCUCAUAUUAAGUGGUCAACUGCCUGGAAAGAGACUGAUGUUGUCUGAAAAACUCUUUGACAUGAAAUAAGGGUAAGAUGCUCACCUUCCUGAAAUAUAAACAAAUAACAAUAACUAAACAUAGGAACAUAUUCUAUAAUGGCAAAACAGCAUCAAG
This 989-nucleotide long non-coding RNA is filed under the name Coturnix japonica (Japanese quail). Its description in RNAcentral is "lncRNA (ENSCJPG00005011584.1)". Lineage: Eukaryota; Metazoa; Chordata; Aves; Galliformes; Phasianidae. The record is from RNAcentral.